Vigna unguiculata (cowpea) is the source of this 1092-nucleotide long non-coding RNA. RefSeq lists it as uncharacterized. The record is from RefSeq and is a predicted model, not a curated record. NCBI's taxonomy places the organism in Eukaryota, Viridiplantae, Streptophyta, Magnoliopsida, Fabales, Fabaceae.
ACAAAAAGGAGGACAUCAACACAGAGAAAUAUAAACCCUUUUCUCCAUCAUCUGAAAAAGGGAGAGGAUUCUAGUUCUUCCAAAAAAGAAAACCCUUGAUUCCUUAUAGCUCUUCAGUUUACCCCGCCAUCCUUAAAUCCCUACACAACAACGCAAACUCCAGGGGCAAAGGUUCAAACCAACCUCGGCCCACAGUCUUGACAGGAACAAGCCUCCUUGUCACGUUCCUGAUUGCCAAACCAACCAUUGUUCAUAAAAAAAAGAAGGCUCAACUUCGGUUUUGUAGGUGGCAGCUGCUAGACUUAUAGGAGUUUUGGCACGUGAGUUGGUACGACAUGUGUUUCUGGAUGAAGUCUUUCAACAGACACAUAUACGGAAGGGUAUUGGCGAGUAUGUGAAUGAGAGGUCUAGGAAAACAAAUAAUUUCAGACUAGGCUUUCUCAAGUUAGAUCUGAGGUUUCCUCAUGUCUUGAUGGAACACAAUAUCAGUCCUCGGCUGAUCCUACAAAGGAUGAGAAUAUCAUGACUAGGUGUUGGAUUGAGAGAGUAGGAGGAAAAAGGAAAGGAAGACUUUAUGGGGCUGGUCAACUUGUUUCAAAAUAUACCGGUUCAAAUGAAAGCAACCAACUAUCAGCUUCUUCCACUCCUAAUACUGAGGACCUCAAUAAUAUUAGGCAAAAACUUUCACGCAGCCUGGAGGAAAAUGAGCAAUUGAGGUUCGAGUUUCGAUCCUUUCAAUCACUAGUCCUGCAAUAUCUCCCUCUUGAUGCUCAGGCUCGUCUUCAACAGCCACAACCACUACAGCCAAACCCUACUCAAUAGAACUCUGAAAUCCUUCAACCCGAGUCUCAGCAACCAAAUAAUGAAGAGGACAAUAAUGUAAAUGAAGAAUCUUCUCCUAAUUAUGAAGAUUAUUAGCUCUUCAUGUCCUUAAGAAAUACUUUCUUCAGCAUGUACAUAAUAAACUUGUGUACAAUUAUGCUUACUUGGUAUUGAUCGUGCCUAUGUAAUAUUUGGCAAACAUAUUCCUAUGCUACAUAUUAUUUUUUGUUUUAUAAAAGUGUGUCAUGUGAUAUAUAUUGUGAUGGAGUU